This is a non-coding RNA of Rhododendron simsii, 121 nucleotides long. NCBI's taxonomy places the organism in Eukaryota, Viridiplantae, Streptophyta, Magnoliopsida, Ericales, Ericaceae. The record is from the annotation of a GenBank genome assembly.
GCGAUCUACCAGCACUAAUGGCAAAACCGGAUCCCAUCAGAACCCGCAAAGUUAAGCGUGCUUGGGCGAGAGUAGUACUGAGGAUGGGUGACCCCACCGGGAGUCCUCGUGUUGCACCCCU